RNAcentral lists this ribosomal RNA (232 nucleotides) under uncultured bacterium. Its description in RNAcentral is "partial 16S ribosomal RNA". It matches the Rfam family "Bacterial small subunit ribosomal RNA", at positions 118 to 350 of the family's 1533-position model. The record is from RNAcentral.
UGGGCAACCUGCCCCCGACCCUGGGAUAACCCCGGGAAACCGGAGCUAAUACCGGAUACUCUCCUCUGACCACCUGGUAGGAUGAGGAAAGGUCCGCCGGUCGGGGAUGGGCCCGCGGCCUAUCAGCUUGUUGGUGGGGUAACGGCCUACCAAGGCAUCGACGGGUAGCUGGUCUGAGAGGACGACCAGCCACACUGGGACUGAGACACGGCCCAGACUCCUACGGGAGGCA